RNAcentral lists this ribosomal RNA (483 nucleotides) under uncultured bacterium. Its description in RNAcentral is "bacterial SSU rRNA". It matches the Rfam family "Bacterial small subunit ribosomal RNA", at positions 30 to 507 of the family's 1533-position model. The record is from RNAcentral.
AUUGAACGCUGGCGGAAUGCUUUACACAUGCAAGUCGAACGGUAGAGGGGGCAACCCCUCGAGAGUGGCGAACGGGUGAGUAAUAUAUCGGAACGUGCCCAGUCGUGGGGGAUAACGUAGCGAAAGUUACGCUAAUACCGCAUACGAUCUACGGAUGAAAGCGGGGGACUCGCAAGAGCCUCGCGCGAUUGGAGCGGCCGAUAUCAGAUUAGGUAGUUGGUGGGGUAAAGGCUCACCAAGCCAACGAUCUGUAGCUGGUCUGAGAGGACGACCAGCCACACUGGAACUGAGACACGGUCCAGACUCCUACGGGAGGCAGCAGUGGGGAAUUUUGGACAAUGGACGCAAGUCUGAUCCAGCCAUUCCGCGUGCAGGAUGAAGGCCCUCGGGUUGUAAACUGCUUUUGUACGGAACGAAAAGGUCUCUAUUAAUACUAGGAGCUCAUGACGGUACCGUAAGAAUAAGCACCGGCUAACUAACGUG